CCGGUUAUAGAGAGUUCAAGAGAACGUGAAAUCCUAGCGGUUGAAGCGGAGAGAGUUGACGUAGCUCGGCGGCUAAGCUUACUGUUGCUUCUUCGGAGGCUUCGGUUUGUGAUGUCCGCUUAUAGCUGCGCUGGUAGCGUUGUUCGAGCUUUCUGACCUGGUUAGUGUUGCCCACUUCGGUGGUGUCUUGCUACCGGCGAGGUCUGCCGUAUUAACGUUUAACUUGCCUUACGGUGAGUACCAGUGUGUUGUAUUAAGGUCAGCCACCUUUCCGACCCGUCUUGAAACACGGACCGAGGAGUGUAACUUGUACGCGAGUCAGAGGGUGGAAAACCGUUCUACGGCGCAAUGAAAGUAAAGGUCGGUUAACCGGCUGACAUGGGAUCCGUUCUUACGAGCGGCGCACCAUGGCCCUGUCAAUUGUUGAGAGCUUGCUCUUGGGCAGAGGUAGAGCGUACAGGUUGCGACCCGAAAGAUGGUGAACUAUACUUGAGCAGGACGAAUUGGGCCAGAGGAAACUCUGGUGGAAGUCCGUAUCGGUUCUGACGUGCAAAUCGAUCGAUAGACUUGAGUAUAGGGGCGAAAGAUUGGCUCUAAUCGAACCAUCUAGUAGCUGGUUCCUUCAAUGCUAGGUAUUACGACACUUGAGUAUAGGGCGCGAGAGACUAAUCGAACAUCUCUAGUAUCUGUUCCCUCUCAAA
RNAcentral lists this ribosomal RNA (701 nucleotides) under Oscheius rugaoensis. RNAcentral's name for it is "partial large subunit ribosomal RNA". It matches the Rfam family "Eukaryotic large subunit ribosomal RNA", at positions 376 to 1433 of the family's 3401-position model. The record is from RNAcentral. Lineage: Eukaryota; Metazoa; Nematoda; Chromadorea; Rhabditida; Rhabditidae.